GACGAACGCUGGCGGCGUGCUUAACACAUGCAAGUCGAACGGAAAGGCCCUGCUUGCAGGGUACUCGAGUGGCGAACGGGUGAGUAACACGUGGGUGAUCUGCCCUGCACUUCGGGAUAAGCCUGGGAAACUGGGUCUAAUACCGGAUAGGAGCCAGUUUUAGUGUGAUGGUUGGACAGUUUUUUCGGUGUAGGAUGAGCUCGCGGCCUAUCAGCUUGUUGGUGGGGUAAUGGCCUACCAAGGCGGCGACGGGUAGCCGGCCUGAGAGGGUGGACGGCCACACUGGGACUGAGAUGCGGCCCAGACUCCUACGGGAGGCAGCAGUGGGGAAGAUUGCACAAUGGGCGCAAGCCGGAUGCAGCGACGCCGCGGGGGGGAUGACGGCCUUCGGGUUGUAAACUCCUUUCGCUAGGGACGAAGCUUUUUGUGACGGUACCUAGAUAAGAAGCACCGGCUAACUACGUG
Molecule: ribosomal RNA, 465 nt
Filed under: uncultured bacterium
Lineage: Bacteria
Description: partial 16S ribosomal RNA
Rfam family: Bacterial small subunit ribosomal RNA
Source: RNAcentral